Molecule: long non-coding RNA, 789 nt
Organism: Gallus gallus (chicken)
Lineage: Eukaryota; Metazoa; Chordata; Aves; Galliformes; Phasianidae
Source: Ensembl
GUCUCUUUCAGGAGACUGCUCCUCUGGGAGUUUUCUUUUCUGCAAGCCUACAACGCAGUGCUGCUUCUGGUGCAAAUUUCUUCCACGUACAGCCCUCCCAAAGUGAAGAAUAGCUUCUGGGUAUAGGGGAGUGCGUUUCCUUCCUUGUUUUACAACAUGAUAAAGCAGAAUGUCCUCACUUCAGCAGAUAAUCCAAAAUGUUCAAAGCUCCUGGUCUCUAAUGUUAGAAUUUGGAAAAAGCCAUGCAGCUAAAUAGCAAUGAAAGUGAAGGAGCUCUUCCAGUACAUCGGAAAGACCAGAAAAGCAAUUCUGUAUGUUUUUGCCUCCUAAUUUUGAUACAAACUGGGAGUAACUGCACUUAUUUCAGGCUCACACAGCAUCAUAUCCUCCUUCUGUUUGGUUAUUAGACAUAAACUUGUCUGUUUUUAUCAAUUUAGUAAUACAUCCUCAUACGUGACACUAAGACUUGUCUGAAUCGCUGGUUUUGAAUCCUUCUUUCAUGUUUAAAAUAUUACCAUUUUGCUACAUUUAUUCAUCUGGGUUUAAGUUUUGGUUACUUCAACUUUUUAUGUUCAUUUUAACUUAGAGAAAAUCAAUUGAUAAAACAUUGCAUUUGUUUACACAUUUUCAAAUUAAUAUGUUAUGUAAAGUAAUAAUGUCAGAUUGAAUCCUGUAAUAUUUAGAUAUGAAAAUGGCCCCGAUUUUUUUUUUUUUUUUGCAUGCUUUACCUCACCAAAACUACUGAUGUAAACAAAAGGCAUCAAGUAUGAAUUUUGAAUUAGAAAACUG